Molecule: ribosomal RNA, 912 nt
Filed under: uncultured bacterium
Lineage: Bacteria
Description: bacterial SSU rRNA
Rfam family: Bacterial small subunit ribosomal RNA
Source: RNAcentral
AGAGUUUGAUCAUGGCUCAGAUGAACGCUGGCGGCAGGCUUACACAUGCAAGUCGAGCGGAUGAAAGUAGCUUGCUACUGGAUUCAGCGGCGGACGGGUGAGUAAUGCUUAGGAAUCUGCCUAUUAGUGGGGGACAACAUCUCGAAAGGGAUGCUAAUACCGCAUACGUCCUACGGGAGAAAGCAGGGGAUCUUCGGACCUUGCGCUAAUAGAUGAGCCUAAGUCGGAUUAGCUAGUUGGUGGGGUAAAGGCCUACCAAGGCGACGAUCUGUAGCGGGUCUGAGAGGAUGAUCCGCCACACCGGGACUGAGACACGGCCCAGACUCCUACGGGAGGCAGCAGUGGGGAAUAUUGGACAAUGGGGGGAACCCUGAUCCAGCCAUGCCGCGUGUGUGAAGAAGGCCUUUUGGUUGUAAAGCACUUUAAGCGAGGAGGAGGCUACCGAGAUUAAUACUCUUGGAUAGUGGACGUUACUCGCAGAAUAAGCACCGGCUAACUCUGUGCCAGCAGCCGCGGUAAUACAGAGGGUGCAAGCGUUAAUCGGAUUUACUGGGCGUAAAGCGCGCGUAGGUGGCCAAUUAAGUCAAAUGUGAAAUCCCCGAGCUUAACUUGGGAAUUGCAUUCGAUACUGGUUGGCUAGAGUAUGGGAGAGGAUGGUAGAAUUCCAGGUGUAGCGGUGAAAUGCGUAGAGAUCUGGAGGAAUACCGAUGGCGAAGGCAGCCAUCUGGCCUAAUACUGACACUGAGGUGCGAAAGCAUGGGGAGCAAACAGGAUUAGAUACCCUGGUAGUCCAUGCCGUAAACGAUGUCUACUAGCCGUUGGGGCCUUUGAGGCUUUAGUGGCGCAGCUAACGCGAUAAGUAGACCGCCUGGGGAGUACGGUCGCAAGACUAAAACUCAAAGGAAUUGACGG